UACGUAGGUGGCGAGCGUUAUCCGGAUUUAUUGGGUUUAAAGGGUGCGUAGGCGGCUUUAUAAGUCGGUGGUCAAAGGUAGCAGCUUAACUGUUUUACAUGCCAUCGAUACUGUAGAGCUUGAGUUGUUUGGAGGCAGCUAGAAUUUCCGGUGUAGCGGUGAAAUGCAUAGAUACCGGAAGGAAUACCGAUUGCGAAGGCAGGUUGCUACGAACACACUGACGCUGAUGCACGAAAGCGUGGGGAUCAAACAGG
Molecule: ribosomal RNA, 254 nt
Filed under: uncultured bacterium
Lineage: Bacteria
Description: partial 16S ribosomal RNA
Rfam family: Bacterial small subunit ribosomal RNA
Source: RNAcentral